This 774-nucleotide ribosomal RNA is filed under the name uncultured Neocallimastigales. RNAcentral describes it as "partial large subunit ribosomal RNA". It matches the Rfam family "Eukaryotic large subunit ribosomal RNA", at positions 24 to 639 of the family's 3401-position model. Lineage: Eukaryota; Fungi; Neocallimastigomycota; Neocallimastigomycetes; Neocallimastigales. The record is from RNAcentral.
UAUCUCUGUAGAGUCUGCAUAUCAAUAAGCGGAGGAAAAGAAACUAACUAGGAUUCCCUAGUAACGGCGAGUGAAGCGGGAAGAGCUCAAAUUUGAAAUCUUCAAGGUUUUACCUUGACGAAUUGUAGUUUAAAGAAGUGUUUUCUGUUGAGGUUUUGGUAAAAGUUCUUUGGAAUAGGACAUCAUAGAGGGUGAGAAUCCCGUAUUUGACCAUUACUUUCAGCGUUGUGAUACACUUUCAAAGAGUCGGAUUGUUUGGGAAUGCAGUCCAAAAUGGGUGGUAAAUUUCAUCUGAAGCUAAAUAUUGGCGAGAGACCGAUAGCGAACAAGUACCGUGAGGGAAAGAUGAAAAGAACUUUGAAAAGAGAGUUAAACAGUGACGUGAAAUUGUCAAAAGGGAAGCGUUUGACACCAGUGUUGUUUUUCUGAAAAUCAAUUAAAGAACUGUUUAUGCUAAGCUGUUUAGACUUUAUCAGCUAUCUGUUUAGUUUUGAGCUUUUCUUUAAUGCACUUUUCAGUUAACAAGUCAACAUCAAUUUCUUUUGCUGUAAAAAAGCUUGAGGAAGGUGGCUUGAGAUUCGUCUUAAGUGUUUAUAGCCUCUUGCCUAUGCAGUCGGAGAGAUUGAGGUCUGCAGCGUAGAUCCUUCGGGGCUAAAUGCAUUUGUGCUAAGUUAUAGCAUUUUAUAGACAACUUGUUGACUAUGAUUUGUCUUGUAGCUUACUCGCUUAUGUUAUUUUACCUACGCUUAGGAUGUUGACGAUCAGCUGAGCGCG